UCCGUCCCAGGGACCGGGAUCGGCUCCACGCUGGGAGGCGAACGGGGCUGUCUCCGUGUUCUGCCCCUGGGUUGUCGUGUAGGGGAAAGCUGCCUCCUGCUCGGGUUGACAGACGCGGCAACAUCAAACACCGGUGACCAAACUGGUGAACAGAAUAAACCGCAGAGAAACCUCCCUCCACCUCAGCACCUGUCACUGGACCUCCCUUAACAGAGCGACUGAGGCUGCAAUACACACGCGGGCUUUUAGAUUCGCCUUGUUUUUUCAAACACCUGAGCUACAGCCCACACGUCGGCCCGGCAGCGCUGUGACACCGAUUCACUGGAGGGCAUAUUCCCUAACCUGGGGGGGGGCAUGGUGAGGGGACCACGGCACUUCCCAGGAGGUUUCAAACCCCAGGCUCCUCCACAGUGUCCUUUCACGUGAACCGCUCUUUCUGUAGAUGCAAGCGAGCUAAUUAAUGAUUUACAGUGUUAUGAAGAAAACCAUCAGCAUCCAGACUACAAAUGACAACAGGGGAACAAAGAGCUCACAUUCUAUUGAGGAUCCUUCAGGAAGCUGUAAGUCUGAGUGCUGACACAGUUAAUGUGUUGUUAUGAGUACCUCUUCUGAAAGUGAAAGGCAGAGCUUUCAUAACAGUAUGAAGUUUCCUAAUUCUUUUGCCUGAGCUCCAGAGUUACAUGUGCUAAAAAAAUCUUGUCAAUUGCAAGGUACACGUUAUAUACAAAUGAAUAAAAAUACAGUCCUAAUUCACAUUUAUAAAA
This is a long non-coding RNA of Pipra filicauda (Wire-tailed manakin), 764 nucleotides long. RefSeq lists it as uncharacterized. The record is from RefSeq and is a predicted model, not a curated record. Lineage: Eukaryota; Metazoa; Chordata; Aves; Passeriformes; Pipridae. The transcript has 2 exons.